RNAcentral lists this long non-coding RNA (224 nucleotides) under Lathyrus oleraceus (garden pea). RNAcentral describes it as "Pisum sativum (pea) long non-coding RNA (PSAT_LNC002602)". The record is from RNAcentral. Lineage: Eukaryota; Viridiplantae; Streptophyta; Magnoliopsida; Fabales; Fabaceae.
UUUGACAUUCUGUGUGACAUUCUUUUUGACUAAUAGACAUUUAUUUUGGCUCAUUGGUCUCUUUGGUCUCUUUGGUCUCUUUUGGCUAUAAACAGAUGACAGAUGAUGUUGAAAAGGAUGUAUAUUGGAGAUAAUUUGUUUAGUAUAUGUGAUGUUGAAGGUGAUGUCAGAUGGGGAGGUGUAUGUUACAGGUGUGUUGAAGGUGAUGUCUGUGUUGAGAAGAC